UGCAAACAAAAUCAUUUUUUGUCGAAAUUUCAAGCGAACAACAUCGAUUUUGGCUCGUGAAAAGAUCUCUGGAUUUUUUCCAAAUUCGUCUAAAAAUGCCAGCAAAAAAAGAAUCAAGCAAAGGUGCCAAGAAAGGAGCUGCCGCUCCAGCUGGUGCCAAGCCGACCGCCGAUCCUGUGGCUUCCGAAUCGACCACCGCAGCCGAACCAGCCGCCAAGGAAGCCAAGGGUUCCAAGAAGGGCAAAGGCAAAAAGAAGUAAGUUCCCCAGCUAGUUUGGUGGAGCUAACUUAAAAAGAGGAAUUCAAUGUUUCCGUAGAACAAUAAACCAAUGGUUUAAAACAA
Long non-coding RNA from Drosophila mauritiana, 343 nucleotides. RefSeq lists it as uncharacterized. The transcript is spliced from 2 exons. NCBI's taxonomy places the organism in Eukaryota, Metazoa, Arthropoda, Insecta, Diptera, Drosophilidae. The record is from RefSeq and is a predicted model, not a curated record.